Molecule: non-coding RNA, 103 nt
Organism: Mycena galopus ATCC 62051
Lineage: Eukaryota; Fungi; Basidiomycota; Agaricomycetes; Agaricales; Mycenaceae
Source: the annotation of a GenBank genome assembly
GGGCGUAUGGUGUAGUGGUAUCACUCAUGCUUUGCACCUGUUGCGUGGUCAUCCCAUGCAAUGUUCAUGUAUGCGGUCCAGGGUUCAAACCCCUGUGCGUCCA